RNAcentral lists this long non-coding RNA (1033 nucleotides) under Piliocolobus tephrosceles (Ugandan red Colobus). Its description in RNAcentral is "lncRNA (ENSPTEG00000003197.1)". Lineage: Eukaryota; Metazoa; Chordata; Mammalia; Primates; Cercopithecidae. The record is from RNAcentral.
AAAUAUAUAAAAAAUAAAUGCAAAAAAUUAAAAAAAUUAUAUAAAAGUUCAUAUUUGAAACCAUCUAAAAAAAAUGAGGUAGAACAAAGUAAAGAACAGAAUGGAGAACAGGAUGAAGAACUUGAAUAUUUACAAUACAAAUUAAUAAAAAAAAAUGAUAAAGAUAAAAAAAGUAAAAAAAAAAGAAAAGGUAGUUGUUCUUUUUCUACUAUUGUCGAAUCUAUAUACAGAACCAAAGGAAUUAAUAGAGAUAUAAUAGAAAUAUUAAAAGAUAAAUAUUUACCUAAUAUAAAAAUUACUUUUAUAGUUAUGGGUGCUUAUUGCUUUUACCAAAAAAAUAUGAAACCAUUCCAAGAUAAAAAUACUUUUUUUUAUAAAUCUCCUUUUUAUAAAUGUGAUGCUGAAAUAUCAGUUGCAUGUAAAAAAGGAAAAAAAAUAGAUUUUCCCAACCAAGAUAAUUAUACAAUUAUUCAAACAAAUGAAUGGGUAUUAAUAACAGUAUUUGAUGGACAUGGUCCAUCAGGUCAUGAUAUAAGUAAUUUUGCUCAUAUACUUUUACCUUUAUUAUUUACUUAUAAUAUAGAAAGAAUUACAGAAAAUCCCACUAAAACUAUUAAAACUUUAUUUUAUAUGAUUAAUUGUUAUUUAGUUAAUUAUUCUUAUUGUAUAAAUAAUAAUAUAAACCCAAUAAAUAUUAAUUUUAUUGAUUAUAAUUUAAGUGGUACUACAUGUACUGCUAUACUAUAUAACUUUGUAACAAAAAAAAUAUACUCAGCUCACACAGGUGAUAGUCGAGCUGUUAUGGGGAAAAAAAAUAUAGAAACAAAUGUGUUCAGAUCUUAUAAUAUUACAGAAGAUCAUAAACCUUCAUUAAAAUUAGAAAAAGAUAGAAUAGUUACAUUUGGAGGAGAAGUAAAAAAACUACAAGGAGAUAUAGCAUAUCGAGUGUUUAUUAAAAAUGAAACUUAUCCAGGAUUAGCAAUGAGUAGAGCUAUCGGUGAUAUAACGUCUUCUUUUAUUGGUGUUACUUGUG